CAUGUCUUUUUGAUUAUAAUUUAAAGUCUAAUCUGCUCGAUGAAUUUUUUUAAAUGGCCGCGGUAUUUUGACCGUGCGAAGGUAGCAUAAUAAUUAGUUUCUUAAUUAGAAUCUAGAAUGAAUGAUUGGACGAGAAAUUUACUGUCUCAUAUUUAAUUAUUUAAAAUUUUACUUUUAAGUUAAAAGGCUUAAAUUUUAUUGGAAGACGAGAAGACCCUAUAGAGUUUAAUAUUAGUAGUAAAUAUCAUUUUUUGGAAUUUAUUUUUUAUUUAUCUAAAAUAUUUAAUUGGGGUGAUUAUUGAAUUGAAUUAACUUAAAUUAUUAAUUAACACAGAUAAGUGGUUUUAUGAUCCAAUAAUUUUGAUUAUAAGAUUAAAUUACCUUAGGGAUAACAGCGUAAUUUUUUUGGAAAGUUCAUAUUUAUAAAAUUGAUUGCGACCUCGAUGUUGGAUUAAAGUUUAAUUUUGGUGUAGAAGCUUAAAAAUUAGGUCUGUUCGACCUUUAAAACUUUACAUGAUCUGAGU
This 524-nucleotide ribosomal RNA is filed under the name Drilonius sp. UPOL RK0135. RNAcentral describes it as "partial 16S ribosomal RNA". The stretch from base 388 to 524 matches the Rfam family "Bacterial large subunit ribosomal RNA", at positions 2473 to 2610 of the family's 2925-position model. The record is from RNAcentral. Lineage: Eukaryota; Metazoa; Arthropoda; Insecta; Coleoptera; Omethidae.